GGCGGGGUGCUAGAGCGGUUGAAUAGGACAGUCUUGAAAACUGUUAGAGGUGAAAGCCUCUCGUGAGUUCGAAUCUCACCCCCGCCGCCA
RNAcentral lists this transfer RNA (90 nucleotides) under Parcubacteria group bacterium. RNAcentral's name for it is "tRNA-Ser". It matches the Rfam family "tRNA". From Rfam's summary of the family: Transfer RNA (tRNA) molecules are approximately 80 nucleotides in length. Their secondary structure includes four short double-helical elements and three loops (D, anti-codon, and T loops). RNAcentral also lists the same sequence under 1 other name. The record is from RNAcentral.